This 253-nucleotide ribosomal RNA is filed under the name uncultured bacterium. RNAcentral's name for it is "partial 16S ribosomal RNA". It matches the Rfam family "Bacterial small subunit ribosomal RNA", at positions 524 to 776 of the family's 1533-position model. The record is from RNAcentral.
UACGUAGGGUGCAAGCGUUGUCCGGAAUUAUUGGGCGUAAAGAGCUCGUAGGCGGUUUGUUGCGUCGGCUGUGAAAUCCCGAGGCUCAACCUCGGGUCUGCAGUCGAUACGAGCAAACUAGAGUGUUGCAGGGGAGACUGGAAUUCCUGGUGUAGCGGUGAAAUGCGUAGAGAUCGGGAGGAACACCAGAGGCGAAGGCGGCGAACUGGAUAGCAACUGACACUCAACUACGAAAGCGUGGGGAGCAAACAGG